UUCCCUUCGGGGACAUUGGUGACAGGUGGUGCAUGGUUGUCGUCAGCUCGUGUCGUGAGAUGUUGGGUUAAGUCCCGCAACGAGCGCAACCCUUGUCUUUAGUUGCCAUCAUUAAGUUGGGCACUCUAGAGAGACUGCCAGGGAUAACCUGGAGGAAGGUGGGGAUGACGUCAAAUCAUCAUGCCCCUUAUGCUUAGGGCUACACACGUGCUACAAUGGGUAGUACAGAGGGUUGCCAAGCCGUAAGGUGGAGCUAAUCCCUUAAAGCUACUCUCAGUUCGGAUUGUAGGCUGAAACUCGCCUACAUGAAGCUGGAGUUACUAGUAAUCGCAGAUCAGAAUGCUGCGGUGAAUGCGUCCCCGGGUCUUGUACACACCGCCCGUCACACCACGGGAGUUGGAGACGCCCGAAGCCGAUUAUCUAACCUUUUGGAAGAAGUCGUCGAAGGUGGAAUCAAUCACUGGGGUGAAGUCGUAACAAGGUAGCCGUAUCGGAAGGUGCGGCUGGAGCACCACCUUUCUAAGGA
Molecule: ribosomal RNA, 526 nt
Filed under: Clostridioides difficile
Lineage: Bacteria; Bacillati; Bacillota; Clostridia; Peptostreptococcales; Peptostreptococcaceae
Description: bacterial SSU rRNA
Rfam family: Bacterial small subunit ribosomal RNA
Source: RNAcentral